Molecule: long non-coding RNA, 240 nt
Organism: Podarcis raffonei (Aeolian wall lizard)
Lineage: Eukaryota; Metazoa; Chordata; Lepidosauria; Squamata; Lacertidae
Exons: 5
Source: RefSeq, a predicted model, not a curated record
GCGGGUUCGAAUGGGGUGGGAAACGUAGCGUGGCGCCAGGUUGCGGGUUCGAAUGGGGAUGGAAGGUUGCGGGUUCGAAUGGGGGUGGGAAACAUAGCGUGGCGCCAGGCUGUGGGUUCAAGUGUGGGUGAGAAAAGUAGCGCGGCGCCGGGUUGCGGGUUCGAAUGGGGAUGGAAGGUUGUGGGUUCGAAUGGGGUGGGAAAUGUAGCGCAGCGCCGGGUUGCGGGUUCAGGAGGCGAA